RNAcentral lists this ribosomal RNA (255 nucleotides) under uncultured bacterium. RNAcentral's name for it is "partial 16S ribosomal RNA". It matches the Rfam family "Bacterial small subunit ribosomal RNA", at positions 524 to 777 of the family's 1533-position model. The record is from RNAcentral.
UACGAAGGGUGCAAGCGUUACUCGGAAUUACUGGGCGUAAAGGGCGCGUAGGCGGCUUGGCAAGUGGAAGGUGAAAUCCCUCGGCUUAACCGAGGAACUGCCCUCCAAACUGCUUCGCUUGAGACCGGGAGAGGUGAGUGGAAUUCCCAGUGUAGCGGUGAAAUGCGUAGAUAUUGGGAGGAACACCAGUGGCGAAGGCGGUUCACUGGACCGGUACUGACGCUGAUGCGCGAAAAGCGUGGGGAGCAAACGGGG